RNAcentral lists this ribosomal RNA (460 nucleotides) under uncultured Bacteroidota bacterium. RNAcentral's name for it is "bacterial SSU rRNA". It matches the Rfam family "Bacterial small subunit ribosomal RNA", at positions 338 to 795 of the family's 1533-position model. The record is from RNAcentral. Lineage: Bacteria; Pseudomonadati; Bacteroidota.
CCUACGGGAGGCUGCAGUGAGGAAUAUUGGUCAAUGGGCGCAAGCCUGAACCAGCCAUCCCGCGUGAAGGAAGAAGGCCCUACGGGUUGUAAACUUCUUUUCUGUUUGAAGAAUAAGCCCGUCGUGACGGGUGAUGCCGGUAGGACAGGAAUAAGCAUCGGCUAACUCCGUGCCAGCAGCCGCGGUAAUACGGAGGAUGCAAGCGUUAUCCGGAUUUAUUGGGUUUAAAGGGUGCGCAGGUGGUUGAAUAAGUCAGUGGUGAAAGUCUGUCGCUUAACGGUAGGAUUGCCAUUGAUACUGUUUAACUUGAAUAUGGAUGAGGUAGGCGGAAUGUGUAGUGUAGCGGUGAAAUGCAUAGAUAUUACACAGAACACCGAUUGCGAAGGCAGCUUACUAAUCCAUUAUUGACGCUGAGGCACGAAAGCGUGGGGAUCAAACAGGAUUAGAUACCCCGGUAGUC